AUUGAACGCUGGCGGCAGGCCUAACACAUGCAAGUCGAGCGGAUGAAGGGAGCUUGCUCCUGGAUUCAGCGGCGGACGGGUGAGUAAUUCCUAGGAAUCUGCCUGGUAGUGGGGGAUAACGUCCGUACACGGGCGCUAAUACCGCAUACGUCCUGAGGGAGAAAGUGGGGGAUCUUCGGACCUCACGCUAUCAGAUGAGCCUAGGUCGGAUUAGCUAGUUGGUGGGGUAAAGGCCUACCAAGGCGACGAUCCGUAACUGGUCUGAGAGGAUGAUCAGUCACACUGGAACUGAGACACGGUCCAGACUCCUACGGGAGGCAGCAGUGGGGAAUAUUGGACAAUGGGCGAAAGCCUGAUCCAGCCAUGCCGCGUGUGUGAAGAAGGUCUUCGGAUUGUAAAGCACUUUAAGUUGGGAGGAAGGGCAGUAAGUUAAUACCUUGCUGUUUUGACGUUACCAACAGAAUAAGCACCGGCUAACUUCGUG
RNAcentral lists this ribosomal RNA (484 nucleotides) under uncultured bacterium. RNAcentral describes it as "partial 16S ribosomal RNA". It matches the Rfam family "Bacterial small subunit ribosomal RNA", at positions 30 to 507 of the family's 1533-position model. The record is from RNAcentral.